Peromyscus maniculatus bairdii (prairie deer mouse) is the source of this 360-nucleotide non-coding RNA. NCBI's taxonomy places the organism in Eukaryota, Metazoa, Chordata, Mammalia, Rodentia, Cricetidae. The record is from RefSeq and is a predicted model, not a curated record.
CUUGAAUACUCUUCAGUACCUGCUUCUUGUAAGGAUCUGCUUGUGAUUCCAGUGAUAAGUGGAUCUGUUCGGACAGUCAACUCAUAGGUUUAUGAAGAUGUUGGUGUGGGCAAUAGCCCAGGUUGUAGCCUGUAACUUCAGCAAAUUUGAAGAGAAAUAACAGAGAUGUGUAACAUGAUGGGGCCUCUCUUCUGUGACUUAGGAGCCUGGAAUGAAUGCAGAGGAACAAUAGUCUCAUGAGGAUGUUAUGUUUCUUCUUGUAGUGUUGCCAAAAUAUUCCUUUGCAUGGAGACUCUACAAGGAUGAAGGGCAGAUACAGAGGGACUGGAAAAUAAGGGGGACUGGGGUGCAUGAUAUGAA